GGUGCUGUAGGCAAAUGGUUAAGCCACCUGACUUUCGAUCAGGUAAUUGCGGGUUCAACUCCCGUCAGCACUUCCU
Molecule: transfer RNA, 76 nt
Filed under: Kamptonema sp. PCC 6506
Lineage: Bacteria; Bacillati; Cyanobacteriota; Cyanophyceae; Oscillatoriales; Microcoleaceae
Description: [Oscillatoria] sp. PCC 6506 tRNA-Glu
Rfam family: tRNA
About the family: Transfer RNA (tRNA) molecules are approximately 80 nucleotides in length.
Source: RNAcentral